CUGAGGGGCAACUAAAAUUGACGGAGACUACAAUCUUUCUGGCCCGAAGAACGAGAACCAGGGGUAACCACAACUGCUGGAAAACUGUUUCUGAACUCGGCUUUGUUUCAUCAACAACUGCCCUCUGAGGAAGGGCAGCUUUGAAGCACAGAGAAAAGGUCCGGGCCUUCGCAGCUGGCCGCCAGGGAGGAAGCAGAGCAGGGUCCUCAGAGGAGCUGAUUUCACGGACAGAAGAUGAGUUUGCUACUUAGUUAGCCAAAUAUUUCUAAGGUUCUUGAGGUCACCCUGACCUCUGACAGGGAUCUACUUCCAGCUACUGUCUUCCUCUGACUCUGGAACGCCUACUGGCUUGGAUCAGAAUCUGAAUCUGCAUGUAUCCUGGGUCCCCAAAAUAGCAAGAUGACCCUGCCCCUUUCUGGAGAUUAGUGGCGUCACUACGAGCAGGCACCAGCCCCGUGAGGCUCGCCCCGUUGUCCCUGCUGCAGCAGCCCCGGGAGGCCGCGGUUACCCACGCCUGACGGAGGAAAUAACUUGCCCCGAGCACCACUGCAGUUGGCGGGGAAGCUGGAACCCAGAGCAGCACCGUCUGCUGCAGAAGCGGUGGCCUUACCGGGAUGCGACACGGCGUCUCCCGUGUGAUCUGUGGUGUAGAGGGGCCAGUGACACAGAAAGACUCCCAGAGGAGAGGAAGUGGAAAGAAGACUAACAAAGGAACGACCAGCCCCAUCUUCAUUCAGAGCGAGCAGGAGGACGCGGCCUCAUCUACCCCGAGAGCGAGCGACUGAGGGACCCCUGAGCCGUGUGUCCUCCCAGCCUACGUGGGUGAGCUGCUCUCCCCCUGGCCGCCCCACGUCUCAGGGAAUGCCCUGCCCUCUGGAAGCCUCUUAGCAGAGAUCUGAUUUGACCUUGCCUGCCUGGCCACCCCAGCCUUGCAGAAGGCCCUGUCUGUGAACUGGGGGCGUUAUUGAAUCAGCAGGGGCAAAGGAAUGAGAAAACCCUAUUAGCCUGUAACCCUGAGGCCUCCAACCGGAAAUUCUGCAGGUUCCUUCUGCUGUUGCUGCUCCUUGCCACUCCACUUCCCCCAUUGCCACUCCUGAGGUUUACACCCUAGUUCCACUGACCUAGGCCAGAUUAAACCUGAUUAAGAGCAUCGAGGGACAGAGAAGGGCUCAAAGCACCCCAGAAACAAUCCUGGUUUCGUGUUCCAACCCUUCCUUCUCGCAAGUAUCCAUACGGGGUGACCACAUACAGUUGGGCAGGCUGUAUACUGCACAACAUCACCGGGCAUAUAAAUCACAGUGGCCCCGGAUUCAUACUCUGUGUUUCCUCAACUACUCGGACGCUGGUGUCAAUUUACAACUCACCCUCAGAGGCCUGUCUGUCCACAUACAUCCCAAUCCUCUCAGGUGGUGACUCCCAGGAACACUAAGAAAAAGGACCUCAAAAUGAGAGGCCCAUAUUCUGCUUUCCAUAACUGGGAAAGUGGACGCCUUCUCCCGCCCUCUGUUCUCCCCCUGCCCCACCCCAGCAUUCAUACGUAGAUCCCUAAAGCCAGAGACUCUGCCCAGAGAUUCGUAGUGCUGGAUGUUUCUAGAAGAGGGACCACAGGUCUGAUUCGCCCAGGACAGUCACAGUUUAUGACUCUCGGACUGGUGGUGCCAACAGUUUUAGCACUGGUCCCACACAAAAGCGUCCCGGCUCAGAUAGGAAAUCAUAGUCACCCUACUGAGAAGCCACAAAUGAGCCAGCCCGGAGGGACUGGGGAACAGUGGCGUCAGCUUAUUGACCAGUAAUUACACGAACAAAUAGAGAAUCAUUUAACUGAGCAGCCACUCUGUGUACAUACACAUGUGUCUAUGUGCCUGUCACACGCGUGUGUGUAUAUAAACGGGUUUGAUGUAUGGAUGCAUAUCUAUAACGCACAUGUGCAUGUCCACACGCACACACAGCUACCACCUAUUGAGCGUUACACACUCCUCAACCUACCAGCCUCGGCAUUAGGAGCUCUACGGGCUCUGCAGCUUCCUGUAUGUACACUUUGUUUUUUUAAAAGAUUUUAUUUAUUUAUUCAUGAGAGACACACAGAGAGAAAGGCAGAGACACAGGCAGAGGGAGAAGCAGGCUCCAUGCAGGGAGCCCUAUGCGGGACUCGAUCUCUAGACCCUGGGGAUUACACCUGUGAGCCAAAAGAAGAUACCCAACCACUGAGCCACCCAGCCCCCCUGUAUAUACACUUUAAAACCAAGAUUUUAGGGGCACCUGGGGGUGGCUCAGAUUGUUAAACGUCUGCCUUCGGUUCACGUCAAGAU
Molecule: long non-coding RNA, 2309 nt
Organism: Canis lupus familiaris (dog)
Lineage: Eukaryota; Metazoa; Chordata; Mammalia; Carnivora; Canidae
Exons: 3
Source: RefSeq, a predicted model, not a curated record